This 229-nucleotide unclassified non-coding RNA is filed under the name plant metagenome. Its description in RNAcentral is "partial contains small subunit ribosomal RNA, internal transcribed spacer 1, and 5.8S ribosomal RNA". The record is from RNAcentral.
UCUCCGUAGGUGAACCUGCGGAGGGAUCAUUACAGAGUUCAUUCCCUACCGGGUAGAUCUCCCACCCUAUGUUAUUAUUACUUUGUUGCUUUGGCGGGCCGUUAGGCUCCGGCCCGACUACCGGCCCCGGCUGGUAAGCGCCCGCCAGAGGACCCAAAACCCUGAAUAUUAGUGUCGUCUGAGUACUAUAUAAUAGUUAAAACUUUCAACAACGGAUCUCUUGGUUCUG